UCUACGAGAACCGCCUCGAGCACAACAGACCGUUGAUUACCUGGCCCUGCAACGAUUGCAUGCAUGACUGGGUCUCGGUUGGUUACUUCGACAAGGGGGCCAAGUUCGUGCCCUGGGUGCGCCCGACCGCGUGCACCCCCUUCCACACCUGCUGCGUGGUCGAGUUGCACGGUGAGGUUGCCGCGACUGCCAGGAAGGGCUGGCAGAACAACUGCUUGUUCCCGUGCUAUCGCACCUUCGUGCCCGGUCUCAAGGAUGCCCAGGCAUUCUGCGACGCGGCGAACGCGGCCCAAGCCACCGCUCUCGCCGCCGUCUACAACCCCGCCGUCCAGAAGAUGGGUUAAGGGUCCGCGCGCGCGGAUUGUCGAAUUCUCGAUCGGGACC
Molecule: long non-coding RNA, 384 nt
Filed under: Micromonas commoda
Lineage: Eukaryota; Viridiplantae; Chlorophyta; Mamiellophyceae; Mamiellales; Mamiellaceae
Description: long non-coding RNA (MCOM_LNC000455)
Source: RNAcentral